AGUGUAGGCGGGAUCGUAAGUUAGGAGUUUAAUGCAUGGGCUUAACCCAUGAUCUGCUUUUAAUACUGCGGUUCUUGAGUAUGGGAGAGGGCGAUGGAAUUCCAGGUGUAGCGGUGGAAUGCGUAGAUAUCUGGAAGAACACCAGUAGCGAAGGCGGUCGCCUGGCCCAAUACUGACGCUGAUGCUCGAAAGCUAGGGGAGCAAACAGGAUUAGAUACCCUGGUAGUCCUAGCCGUAAACGAUGGACACUAGUUGCUGGAGGAGUCAAUCCUUUCGGCGACGAAGCUAACGCAUUAAGUGUCCCGCCUGGGAAGUACGCUCGCAAGGGUGAA
This 332-nucleotide ribosomal RNA is filed under the name uncultured bacterium. RNAcentral's name for it is "bacterial SSU rRNA". It matches the Rfam family "Bacterial small subunit ribosomal RNA", at positions 568 to 898 of the family's 1533-position model. The record is from RNAcentral.